RNAcentral lists this ribosomal RNA (400 nucleotides) under uncultured bacterium. Its description in RNAcentral is "bacterial SSU rRNA". It matches the Rfam family "Bacterial small subunit ribosomal RNA", at positions 356 to 773 of the family's 1533-position model. The record is from RNAcentral.
GGGGAAUAUUGCACAAUGGGGGAAACCCUGAUGCAGCAACGCCGCGUGAGCGAUGAAGGCCUUCGGGUUGUAAAGCUCUGUCUUCAGGGACGAUAAUGACGGUACCUGAGGAGGAAGCCACGGCUAACUACGUGCCAGCAGCCGCGGUAAUACGUAGGUGGCAAGCGUUGUCCGGAAUUAUUGGGCGUAAAGGAUGCGUAGGUGGUCCUUUAAGUGGGAUGUGAAAUCCCUGGGCUUAACCCAGGAAUUGCAUUCCAAACUGGAGGACUAGAGUGCAGGAGAGGAAAGUGGAAUUCCCAGUGUAGCGGUGAAAUGCGUAGAGAUUGGGAGGAACACCAGUGGCGAAGGCGGCUUUCUGGACUGUAACUGACACUGAGGCAUGAAAGCGUGGGGAGCAAAC